RNAcentral lists this ribosomal RNA (403 nucleotides) under Fusobacteriota bacterium. RNAcentral's name for it is "Fusobacteria bacterium partial 16S ribosomal RNA". It matches the Rfam family "Bacterial small subunit ribosomal RNA", at positions 355 to 776 of the family's 1533-position model. Lineage: Bacteria; Fusobacteriati; Fusobacteriota. The record is from RNAcentral.
UGGGGAAUAUUGCACAAUGGGGGAAACCCUGAUGCAGCGACGCCGCGUGAGCGAAGAAGGUUUUCGAAUCGUAAAGCUCUUUCCUAUGGGAAGAUAAUGACGGUACCAUAGGAGGAAGCCCCGGCUAACUACGUGCCAGCAGCCGCGGUAAUACGUAGGGGGCAAGCGUUGUCCGGAAUCACUGGGCGUAAAGGGUUCGCAGGCGGAAAUGCAAGUCAGUUGUGAAAGGCAGAGGCUCAACCUCUGUAAGCAAUUGAAACUGUAUUUCUUGAGAUGUGGAGAGGCAAGUGGAAUUCCUAGUGUAGCGGUGAAAUGCGUAGAUAUUAGGAAGAAUACCGGUGGCGAAGGCGACUUGCUGGACACAAACUGACGCUGAGGAACGAAAGCGUGGGUAGAAAACAGG